This 507-nucleotide ribosomal RNA is filed under the name uncultured bacterium. RNAcentral describes it as "bacterial SSU rRNA". It matches the Rfam family "Bacterial small subunit ribosomal RNA", at positions 28 to 527 of the family's 1533-position model. The record is from RNAcentral.
GACGAACGCUGGCGGCGUGGAUUAGGCAUGCAAGUCGAACGGUAUCAUCCUUUCGGGGGUGAGAGAGUGGCGAACUGGUGAGUAACACGUAGGUUAUCUACCCUCAAGACGGGGACAACCCAGGGAAACUUGGGCUAAUACCGGAUGUGAGCAACUUUUAGUUGUUUGAAAGGUGGCGUAAGCUGUCGCUUGGGGAUGAGCCUGCGUCCUAUUAGUUAGUUGGUGAGGUAACGGCUCACCUAGGCAAUGAUAGGUAGGCGGCCUUAACGGGUGGUCGCCCACACUGGGAUUGAGAUACGGCCCAGACUCCUACGGGAGGCAGCAGUCGAGAAUAGUCUACAAUGGCCGAAAGGCUGAUAGUGCGACGCCGCGUGAACGAAGAAGCCCUUCGGGGUGUAAAGUUCUUUUAUAUGUGAGCAGUGCUUUCUAUGUGAACAGCAUGGGGAGAGAGAUAUUAGCAUAUGAAUAAGCAACGGCUAACUCCGUGCCAGCAGCCGCGGUAAAACG